UACGUAGGGGGCAAGCGUUGUCCGGAAUCAUUGGGCGUAAAGAGCGUGUAGGCGGCCCGGUAAGUCCGCUGUGAAAGUCCAGGGCUCAACCCUGGGAUGCCGGUGGAUACUGUCGGGCUCGAGUCCGGAAGAGGAGUGUGGAAUUCCUGGUGUAGUGGUGGAAUGCGCAGAUAUCAGGAGGAACACCGAUGGCGAAGGCAGGUCUCUGGGCCAUUACUGACACUGAGAAGCGAAAGCAUGGGGAGCGAACAGG
This 253-nucleotide ribosomal RNA is filed under the name uncultured bacterium. RNAcentral's name for it is "partial 16S ribosomal RNA". It matches the Rfam family "Bacterial small subunit ribosomal RNA", at positions 524 to 776 of the family's 1533-position model. The record is from RNAcentral.